CCUACGGGAGGCAGCAGUAGGGAAUAUUGCUCAAUGGGGGAAACCCUGAAGCAGCAACGCCGCGUGGAGGAUGAAGGUUUUCGGAUUGUAAAGUCCUGUUGUUAGAGAAGAUAAUGACGGUAUCUAACGAAUAAGCACCGGCGAAUUCCGUGCCAGCAGCCGCGGGAAUACGGAGGGUGCAAGCGUUACUCGGAAUCACUGGGCGUAAAGAGCGCGUAGGCGGGAUAGCAAGUCAGAUGUGAAAUCCUUUGGCUUAACCAUAGAACUGCAGUUGAAACUGUUAUUCUAGAGUAUGGGAGAGGUAGGUGGAAUUCUUGGUGUAGGGGUAGAAUCCGUAGAGAUCAAGAGGAAUACUCAUUGCGAAGGCGACCUGCUAGAACAUAACUGACGCUGAUGCGCGAAAGCGUGGGGAGCAAACAGGAUUAGAUACCCGAGUAGUC
This 440-nucleotide ribosomal RNA is filed under the name uncultured bacterium. Its description in RNAcentral is "partial 16S ribosomal RNA". It matches the Rfam family "Bacterial small subunit ribosomal RNA", at positions 338 to 795 of the family's 1533-position model. The record is from RNAcentral.